CAUUCGAGUGGCGGACGGGUGAGUAACGCGUGGGUAACCUGCCUUACACAGGGGGAUAACACCUGGAAACAGGUGCUAAUACCGCAUAAGCGCACAGGGGCCGCAUGGCCCGGUGUGAAAAACUCCGGUGGUGUAAGAUGGACCCGCGUCUGAUUAGCUUGUUGGCGGGGUAGGGGCCCACCAAGGCGACGAUCAGUAGCCGGCCUGAGAGGGUGGACGGCCACAUUGGGACUGAGACACGGCCCAAACUCCUACGGAAGGCAGCAG
This 267-nucleotide ribosomal RNA is filed under the name uncultured bacterium. RNAcentral's name for it is "partial 16S ribosomal RNA". It matches the Rfam family "Bacterial small subunit ribosomal RNA", at positions 88 to 354 of the family's 1533-position model. The record is from RNAcentral.